This 799-nucleotide ribosomal RNA is filed under the name Aspergillus neoglaber. Its description in RNAcentral is "SSU rRNA". It matches the Rfam family "Eukaryotic small subunit ribosomal RNA", at positions 115 to 924 of the family's 1831-position model. Lineage: Eukaryota; Fungi; Ascomycota; Eurotiomycetes; Eurotiales; Aspergillaceae. The record is from RNAcentral.
GUUUAUUUGAUAGUACCUUACUACAUGGAUACCUGUGGUAAUUCUAGAGCUAAUACAUGCUAAAAACCUCGACUUCGGAAGGGGUGUAUUUAUUAGAUAAAAAACCAAUGCCCUUCGGGGCUCCUUGGUGAGUCAUAAUAACUUAACGAAUCGCAUGGCCUUGCGCCGGCGAUGGUUCAUUCAAAUUUCUGCCCUAUCAACUUUCGAUGGUAGGAUAGUGGCCUACCAUGGUGGCAACGGGUAACGGGGAAUUAGGGUUCGAUUCCGGAGAGGGAGCCUGAGAAACGGCUACCACAUCCAAGGAAGGCAGCAGGCGCGCAAAUUACCCAAUCCCGACACGGGGAGGUAGUGACAAUAAAUACUGAUACGGGGCUCUUUUGGGUCUCGUAAUUGGAAUGAGUACAAUUUAAAUCCCUUAACGAGGAACAAUUGGAGGGCAAGUCUGGUGCCAGCAGCCGCGGUAAUUCCAGCUCCAAUAGCGUAUAUUAAAGUUGUUGCAGUUAAAAAGCUCGUAGUUGAACCUUGGGUCUGGCUGGCCGGUCCGCCUCACCGCGAGUACUGGUCCGGCUGGACCUUUCCUUCUGGGGAACCCCAUGGCCUUCACUGGCUGUGGGGGGAACCAGGACUUUUACUGUGAAAAAAUUAGAGUGUUCAAAGCAGGCCUUUGCUCGAAUACAUUAGCAUGGAAUAAUAGAAUAGGACGUGCGGUUCUAUUUUGUUGGUUUCUAGGACCGCCGUAAUGAUUAAUAGGGAUAGUCGGGGGCGUCAGUAUUCAGCUGUCAGAGGUGAAAUUCUUGGA